UACAGAGGUCCCAAGCGUUGUUCGGAAUUACUGGGCGUAAAGGGCUCGUAGGCGGCCAACUAAGUCAGACGUGAAAUCCCUCGGCUUAACCGGGGAACUGCGUCUGAUACUGGUUGGCUUGAAUCCGGGAGAGGGAUGUGGAAUUCCAGGUGUAGCGGUGAAAUGCGUAGAUAUCUGGAGGAACACCGGUGGCGAAGGCGGCAUCCUGGACCGGUAUUGACGCUGAGGAGCGAAAGCCAGGGGAGCAAACGGG
RNAcentral lists this ribosomal RNA (253 nucleotides) under uncultured bacterium. RNAcentral describes it as "partial 16S ribosomal RNA". It matches the Rfam family "Bacterial small subunit ribosomal RNA", at positions 524 to 776 of the family's 1533-position model. The record is from RNAcentral.